RNAcentral lists this ribosomal RNA (403 nucleotides) under uncultured bacterium. Its description in RNAcentral is "bacterial SSU rRNA". It matches the Rfam family "Bacterial small subunit ribosomal RNA", at positions 30 to 429 of the family's 1533-position model. The record is from RNAcentral.
AUUGAACGCUGGCGGCAUGCCUUACACAUGCAAGUCGAACGGCAGCAUGGAAGAGCUUGCUCUUCUGAUGGCGAGUGGCGAACGGGUGAGUAAAGCAUCGGAACGUACCGUGUAGUGGGGGAUAACGUAGCGAAAGUUACGCUAAUACCGCAUACGCACUGAGGUGGAAAGCAGGGGAUCGCAAGACCUUGCGCUAUACGAGCGGCCGAUGUCAGAUUAGCUAGUUGGUAGGGUAAAGGCCUACCAAGGCGACGAUCUGUAGCGGGUCUGAGAGGAUGAUCCGCCACACUGGGACUGAGACACGGCCCAGACUCCUACGGGAGGCAGCAGUGGGGAAUUUUGGACAAUGGGCGAAAGCCUGAUCCAGCCAUGCCGCGUGAGUGAAGAAGGCCUCGGUUGUAAG